CACAUGCAAGUCGAACGAGCGAGAGAGAGCUUGCUUUCUCAAGCGAGUGGCGAACGGGUGAGUAACGCGUGAGGAACCUGCCUCAAAGAGGGGGACAACAGUUGGAAACGACUGCUAAUACCGCAUAAGCCCACGACCCGGCAUCGGGUUGAGGGGAAAGGAGUAAUCCGCUUUGAGAUGGCCUCGCGUCCGAUUAGCUAGUUGGUGAGGUAACGGCCCACCAAGGCGACGAUCGGUAGCCGGACUGAGAGGUUGAACGGCCACAUUGGGACUGAGACACGGCCCAGACUCCUACGGGAGGCAGCAGUGGGGAAUAUUGCACAAUGGGGGAAACCCUGAUGCAGCGACGCCGCGUGGAGGAAGAAGGUCUUCGGAUUGUAAACUCCUGUUGUUGGGGAAGAUAAUGACGGUACCCAACAAGGAAGUGACGGCUAACUACGUGCCAGCAGCCGCGGUAAAACGUAGGUCACAAGCGUUGUCCGGAAUUACUGGGUGUAAAGGGAGCGCAGGCGGGAAGACAAGUUGGAAGUGAAAUCCAUGGGCUCAACCCAUGAACUGCUUUCAAAACUGUUUUUCUUGAGUAGUGCAGAGGUAGGCGGAAUUCCCGGUGUAGCGGUGGAAUGCGUAGAUAUCGGGAGGAACACCAGUGGCGAAGGCGGCCUACUGGGCACCAACUGACGCUGAGGCUCGAAAGUGUGGGUAGCAAACAGGAUUAGAUACCCUGGUAGUCCACACCGUAAACGAUGAUUACUAGGUGUUGGAGGAUUGACCCCUUCAGUGCCGCAGUUAACACAAUAAGUAAUCCACCUGGGGAGUACGACCGCAAGGUUGAAACUCAAAGGAAUUGACGGG
Molecule: ribosomal RNA, 852 nt
Filed under: uncultured bacterium
Lineage: Bacteria
Description: bacterial SSU rRNA
Rfam family: Bacterial small subunit ribosomal RNA
Source: RNAcentral